Molecule: ribosomal RNA, 274 nt
Filed under: uncultured bacterium
Lineage: Bacteria
Description: partial 16S ribosomal RNA
Rfam family: Bacterial small subunit ribosomal RNA
Source: RNAcentral
AUACGGAGGGUGCAAGCGUUGUUCGGAAUUAUUGGGCGUAAAGCGGGUGUAGGCGGCUUUGCAAGUCGGGUGUGAAAUCCCUGGGCCCAACCCAGGAACUGCAUUCGAAACUGCAUCGCUAGAGUCCCGGAGAGGAUGGCGGAAUUCCAGGUGUAGGGGUGAAAUCCGUAGAUAUCUGGAGGAACACCAGUGGCGAAGGCGGCCAUCUGGACGGUGACUGACGCUCAGACCCGAAAGCGUGGGGAGCAAACAGGAUUAGAAACCCCAGUAGUCC